RNAcentral lists this long non-coding RNA (727 nucleotides) under Olea europaea subsp. europaea. Lineage: Eukaryota; Viridiplantae; Streptophyta; Magnoliopsida; Lamiales; Oleaceae. The record is from RNAcentral.
CAAGAGAUGGACUCCCUACUGUUGAUUUAAACGAUAAUAGGGGUGUAUUCUUCAUCCAAUUCGGGCAGCACUUGGGUAACAAGGUCAGCAUGAGGAAUGCUAUUUCAAGGUUGUCUGCUAGCUGCUUAAUUGUGUUGAGCUAUUUAUCAAUACUCAUUGAACCUUUCCUUGUCCUUUUAAGUUCACUGAUAAGGAAGAUUAUCCUUGAUUUAUUCAUAACUCCAAAACUUUCUUGGACUGCAUUCCAAAGAUUGCAGGAGCUUGAAGAUCCCAUCACUCUCAUUGCUAUAUCAGGUGUCAUAGAUGAAUACAGCCAACCCAUCAGUAGUUGAUCAGUAGACAUCCAUUUUAUAUAUUCAGAAUUUGGAGUCAUCUCCACGGUGACACCGGCAACACCAGUGGUUUGAGUUGCCAAAACCUCUACUGGACAAGCUUUUGUCCCUGUAAUGAAACCUUCAAGAUUGUGACCUCUAAUGAUUGGCAUGACCAUGUUCUUCCAAAGUAAAAAGUUGUUCCUAUCAAGUUUAACUGGUGGAACUUGGGUGAGGCUUAUCCCAAGUGAUGGCAGCUGAUUUCCUCCCAGUACUGAAGACACCAGUGUGGUUGAAGUUGGCUGAGCCGAUUGAGCAUUGUCAUUGGAUCUGGUGUUAGCCAUUAAUGGCUUUGAUACCAAGAUAAAAUUAAUAAGAAAACUGAAGAUGCAGUAAUUGAAAUGAAAAUCAGAGAA